CCUACGUGUGGCAGCAGUGGGGAAUAUUGGACAAUGGGCGAAAGCCUGAUCCAGCCAUGCCGCGUGUGUGAAGAAGGCCUUCGGGUUGUAAAGCACUUUCAGUGGGGAAGAAAGCCUUGGGGCUAAUACCCUCGAGGAAGGACAUCACCCACAGAAGAAGCACCGGCUAACUCCGUGCCAGCAGCCGCGGUAAUACGGAGGGUGCGGGCGUUAAUCGGAAUUACUGGGCGUAAAGCGCGCGUAGGCGGUCUGAUAAGCCGGUUGUGAAAGCCCCGGGCUCAACCUGGGAACGGCAUCCGGAACUGUCAGGCUAGAGUGCAGGAGAGGAAGGUAGAAUUCCCGGUGUAGCGGUGAAAUGCGUAGAGAUCGGGAGGAAUACCAGUGGCGAAGGCGGCCUUCUGGACUGACACUGACGCUGAGGUGCGAAAGCGUGGGUAGCAAACAGGAUUAGAUAACCGAGUAGUC
Molecule: ribosomal RNA, 465 nt
Filed under: Vreelandella stevensii
Lineage: Bacteria; Pseudomonadati; Pseudomonadota; Gammaproteobacteria; Oceanospirillales; Halomonadaceae
Description: partial 16S ribosomal RNA
Rfam family: Bacterial small subunit ribosomal RNA
Source: RNAcentral